This 892-nucleotide ribosomal RNA is filed under the name Staphylococcus aureus. Its description in RNAcentral is "partial 23S ribosomal RNA". It matches the Rfam family "Bacterial large subunit ribosomal RNA", at positions 557 to 1456 of the family's 2925-position model. The record is from RNAcentral. Lineage: Bacteria; Bacillati; Bacillota; Bacilli; Caryophanales; Staphylococcaceae.
CGUGUGCUUACAAGUAGUCAGAGCCCGUUAAUGGGUGAUGGCGUGCCUUUUGUAGAAUGAACCGGCGAGUUACGAUUUGAUGCAAGGUUAAGCAGUAAAUGUGGAGCCGUAGCGAAAGCGAGUCUGAAUAGGGCGUUUAGUAUUUGGUCGUAGACCCGAAACCAGGUGAUCUACCCUUGGUCAGGUUGAAGUUCAGGUAACACUGAAUGGAGGACCGAACCGACUUACGUUGAAAAGUGAGCGGAUGAACUGAGGGUAGCGGAGAAAUUCCAAUCGAACCUGGAGAUAGCUGGUUCUCUCCGAAAUAGCUUUAGGGCUAGCCUCAAGUGAUGAUUAUUGGAGGUAGAGCACUGUUUGGACGAGGGGCCCCUCUCGGGUUACCGAAUUCAGACAAACUCCGAAUGCCAAUUAAUUUAACUUGGGAGUCAGAACAUGGGUGAUAAGGUCCGUGUUCGAAAGGGAAACAGCCCAGACCACCAGCUAAGGUCCCAAAAUAUAUGUUAAGUGGAAAAGGAUGUGGCGUUGCCCAGACAACUAGGAUGUUGGCUUAGAAGCAGCCAUCAUUUAAAGAGUGCGUAAUAGCUCACUAGUCGAGUGACACUGCGCCGAAAAUGUACCGGGGCUAAACAUAUUACCGAAGCUGUGGAUUGUCCUUUGGACAAUGGUAGGAGAGCGUUCUAAGGGCGUUGAAGCAUGAUCGUAAGGACAUGUGGAGCGCUUAGAAGUGAGAAUGCCGGUGUGAGUAGCGAAAGACGGGUGAGAAUCCCGUCCACCGAUUGACUAAGGUUUCCAGAGGAAGGCUCGUCCGCUCUGGGUUAGUCGGGUCCUAAGCUGAGGCCGACAGGCGUAGGCGAUGGAUAACAGGUUGAUAUUCCUGUACCACCUAUAAUCG